UGGGGAAUAUUGCACAAUGGGCGAAAGCCUGAUGCAGCAACGCCGCGUGCGGGAUGACGGCCUUCGGGUUGUAAACCGCUUUCAGCAGGGACGAAGGUUUUCUGACGGUACCUGCAGAAGAAGCACCGGCUAACUACGUGCCAGCAGCCGCGGUGAUACGUAGGGUGCGAGCGUUGUCCGGAAUUAUUGGGCGUAAAGAGCUUGUAGGCGGUCCGUUGCGUCGGAAGUGAAAACUCAGGGCUUAACCCUGAGCCUGCUUUCGAUACGGGCGGACUUGAGGGAUGUAGGGGAGAACGGAAUUCCUGGUGGAGCGGUGGAAUGCGCAGAUAUCAGGAGGAACACCAGCGGCGAAGGCGGUUCUCUGGACAUUUCCUGACGCUGAGAAGCGAAAAGCGUGGGGAGCAAAACAGGCUUAGAUACCCUGGUAGUCCACGCCGUAAACGGUGGGCACUAGGUGUGGGACCCAUUCCACGGGUUCCGUGCCGUAGCUAACGCAUUAAAGUGCCCCGCCUGGGGAGUACGGCCGC
This 527-nucleotide ribosomal RNA is filed under the name uncultured bacterium. Its description in RNAcentral is "partial 16S ribosomal RNA". It matches the Rfam family "Bacterial small subunit ribosomal RNA", at positions 355 to 889 of the family's 1533-position model. The record is from RNAcentral.